CCGAUUCUCGAAUCUCAACACCCCCGGACUUACGACGACCGGAACGCUCAGUCGCCUUUCCUUUGCCUUUAUCCACGGCUUUUCCUUUGCCCUUGCCUUUCCCAGCGUCCUUAUCCUUAGCUAAAACUUCAGGAACAAAAGUCUCCCAAUCCUGCUCGUCCUCCUCAGAUUCAUCACCCGGGGCAUACUCACUCCCUUCAUCUUCCGGUUGUUGCUCAACCGGC
RNAcentral lists this long non-coding RNA (224 nucleotides) under Ananas comosus (pineapple). RNAcentral's name for it is "long non-coding RNA (ACOM_LNC044543)". The record is from RNAcentral. Lineage: Eukaryota; Viridiplantae; Streptophyta; Magnoliopsida; Poales; Bromeliaceae.